This 497-nucleotide ribosomal RNA is filed under the name uncultured bacterium. Its description in RNAcentral is "partial 16S ribosomal RNA". It matches the Rfam family "Bacterial small subunit ribosomal RNA", at positions 28 to 507 of the family's 1533-position model. The record is from RNAcentral.
GAUGAACGCUGGCGGCGUGCCUAAUACAUGCAAGUCGAGCGAACAGACGAGGAGCUUGCUCCUCUGACGUUAGCGGCGGACGGGUGAGUAACACGUGGAUAACCUACCUAUAAGACUGGGAUAACUUCGGGAAACCGGAGCUAAUACCGGAUAAUAUAUUGAACCGCAUGGUUCAAUAGUGGAAGACGGUUUUGCUGUCACUUAUAGAUGGAUCCGCGCCGCAUUAGCUAGUUGGUAAGGUAACGGCUUACCAAGGCAACGAUGCGUAGCCGACCUGAGAGGGUGAUCGGCCACACUGGAACUGAGACACGGUCCAGACUCCUACGGGAGGCAGCAGUAGGGAAUCUUCCGCAAUGAGCGAAAGCCUGACGGAGCAACGCCGCGUGAGUGAUGAAGGUCUUCGGAUCGUAAAACUCUGUUAUUAGGGAAGAACAAAUGUGUAAGUAACUAUGCACGUCUUGACGGUACCUAAUCAGAAAGCCACGGCUAACUACGUG